GAGUGGCGGACGGGUGAGUAACGCGUGGGUAACCUGCCUCAUACAGGGGGAUAACAGUUAGAAAUGACUGCUAAUACCGCAUAAGACCACAGCACCGCAUGGUGUAGGGGUAAAAACUCCGGUGGUAUGAGAUGGACCCGCGUCUGAUUAGGUAGUUGGUGGGGUAACGGCCUACCAAGCCGACGAUCAGUAGCCGACCUGAGAGGGUGACCGGCCACAUUGGGACUGAGACACGGCCCAA
This 241-nucleotide ribosomal RNA is filed under the name uncultured bacterium. RNAcentral's name for it is "partial 16S ribosomal RNA". It matches the Rfam family "Bacterial small subunit ribosomal RNA", at positions 93 to 334 of the family's 1533-position model. The record is from RNAcentral.